AACGAACGCUGGCGGCAUGCCUAACACAUGCAAGUCGAACGAGACCUUCGGGUCUAGUGGCGCACGGGUGCGUCACGCGUGGGAACCUGCCCUUCGGUUCGGAAUAACUCCUCGAAAGGGGGGCUACUACCGGAUAAUGUCUUCGGACCAAAGAUUUAUCGCCUUUGGAUGGGCCCGCGUUGGUUUAGCUAGUUGGUAGGGUACAAGCCUACCAAGGCGACGAUCCAUAGCUGGUCUCAGAGGAUGGGCAGCCACACUGGGACUGAGACACGGCCCAGACUACUACGGAAGGCAGCAGUGGCGAAUAUUGGACAAUGGGCGAAAGCCUGAUCCAGCAAUGCCGCGUGAGUGAUGAAGGCCUUAGAGUAGUAAAGCUCUUUUACCCGGGAUGAUAAUGACAGUACCGGGAGAAUAAGCUCCGGCUAACUCCGUG
RNAcentral lists this ribosomal RNA (433 nucleotides) under uncultured bacterium. RNAcentral's name for it is "partial 16S ribosomal RNA". It matches the Rfam family "Bacterial small subunit ribosomal RNA", at positions 29 to 507 of the family's 1533-position model. The record is from RNAcentral.